GACGAACGCUGGCGGCGUGCUUAACACAUGCAAGUCGAACGGAAAGGCCCUUCGGGGUCCUCGAGUGGCGAACGGGUGAGUAACACGUGGGUGAUCUGCCCUGCACUUUGGGAUAAGCCUGGGAAACUGGGUCUAAUACCGAAUAGGACCACGCGCUUCAUGGUGUGUGGUGGAAAGCUUUUGCGGUGUUGGAUGGGCCCGCGGCCUAUCAGCUUGUUGGUGGGGUAAUGGCCUACCAAGGCGACGACGGGUAGCCGGCCUGAGAGGGUGACCGGCCACACUGGGACUGAGAGACGGCCCAGACUCCUACGGGAGGCAGCAGUGGGGAAUAUUGCACAAUGGGCGCAAGCCUGAUGCAGCGACGCCGCGUGAGGGAUGACGGCCUUCGGGUUGUAAACCUCUUUCAAUAGGGACGAAGCGCAAGUGACGGUACCUAUAGAAGAAGCACCGGCCAACUACGUG
This 462-nucleotide ribosomal RNA is filed under the name uncultured bacterium. RNAcentral's name for it is "partial 16S ribosomal RNA". It matches the Rfam family "Bacterial small subunit ribosomal RNA", at positions 28 to 507 of the family's 1533-position model. The record is from RNAcentral.